This 446-nucleotide ribosomal RNA is filed under the name Scolopendra dehaani. RNAcentral describes it as "partial 16S ribosomal RNA". It matches the Rfam family "Bacterial large subunit ribosomal RNA", at positions 1829 to 2600 of the family's 2925-position model. The record is from RNAcentral. Lineage: Eukaryota; Metazoa; Arthropoda; Chilopoda; Scolopendromorpha; Scolopendridae.
GGUCUUAUGAUUUGUAAUAUAAGAUUUGGCCUGCUCUAUGUUGAAUAAAUGGCCGCGGUAUAUUGACCGUGCGAAGGUAGCAUAAUAAUUAGGCUAUUAAUUGUGGUCUUGUAUGAAAGGUUGGACGAGGGAAGUACUUUCUUAUUUUCAAGGUUGAACUUAAAUAAUUAGUAAAAAUGCUAAUAUAUUAUAAAAAGACGAGAAGACCCUGUUGAGUUUUAUAUUUAUUUUAUUUAUUAUAUUUAAUUGGGGCGAUGAUUUAUAAACAAUCUAUUUAAUUGAUCCAUUAUUAGUGAUUAAUAGAAUAAAUUACCACAGGGAUAACAGCAUAAUUUGAUUGGAGAGUUCUUAUUGAUAUUCAAGUUUGUGACCUCGAUGUUGGAUUAAGAUUCCUUUUAGGUGCAGGUGCUUAAAAAGGUAGACUGUUCGUCUAUUAAAUUCUUACA